AUUGAACGCUGGCGGCAUGCCUUACACAUGCAAGUCGGACGGUAACAGGUCUUCGGAUGCUGACGAGUGGCGAACGGGUGAGUAAUACAUCGGAACGUGCCUAGUAGUGGGGGAUAACUACUCGAAAGAGUGGCUAAUACCGCAUGAGAUCUACGGAUGAAAGCAGGGGAUCGCAAGACCUUGUGCUACUAGAGCAGCCGAUGGCGGAUUAGGUAGUUGGUGGGAUAAAAGCUUACCAAGCCGACGAUCUGUAGCUGGUCUGAGAGGACGAUCAGCCACACUGGGACUGAGAAACGGCCCAGACUCCUACGGGAGGCAGCAGUGGGGAAUUUUGGACAAUGGGCGCAAGCCUGAUCCAGCAAUGCCGCGUGCAGGAUGAAGGCCUUCGGGUUGUAAACUGCUUUUGUACGGAACGAAAAGCCCCGGGUUAAUACCCUGGGGUCAUGACGGUACCGUAAGAAUAAGCACCGGCUAACUACGUGCCAGCCGCCGCCGUAA
RNAcentral lists this ribosomal RNA (498 nucleotides) under uncultured bacterium. RNAcentral describes it as "partial 16S ribosomal RNA". It matches the Rfam family "Bacterial small subunit ribosomal RNA", at positions 30 to 523 of the family's 1533-position model. The record is from RNAcentral.